GGGGAAUAUUGGACAAUGGGGGCAACCCUGAUCCAGCAAUGCCGCGUGAGUGAUGAAGGCCUUAGGGUUGUAAAGCUCUUUUACCAGGGAUGAUAAUGACAGUACCUGGAGAAUAAGCUCCGGCUAACUCCGUGCCAGCAGCCGCGGUAAUACGGAGGGAGCUAGCGUUGUUCGGAAUUACUGGGCGUAAAGCGCACGUAGGCGGUUACUCAAGUCAGAGGUGAAAGCCCGGGGCUCAACCCCGGAACUGCCUUUGAAACUAGGUAACUAGAAUCCUGGAGAGGUGAGUGGAAUUCCGAGUGUAGAGGUGAAAUUCGUAGAUAUUCGGAAGAACACCAGUGGCGAAGGCGACUUACUGGACACAUAUUGACGCUGAGGUGCGAAAGCGUGGGGAGCAAA
This 399-nucleotide ribosomal RNA is filed under the name uncultured bacterium. RNAcentral's name for it is "bacterial SSU rRNA". It matches the Rfam family "Bacterial small subunit ribosomal RNA", at positions 356 to 772 of the family's 1533-position model. The record is from RNAcentral.